UUCGCCUUCCUCCUCAGCCU
Molecule: unclassified non-coding RNA, 20 nt
Filed under: Mus musculus (house mouse)
Lineage: Eukaryota; Metazoa; Chordata; Mammalia; Rodentia; Muridae
Description: oocyte_clustered_small_RNA788
Source: RNAcentral